UAUAUUUUGGAUUUUUUUAUUUUUUAUUUUUCUAUUUGGGAGUGGUUUAUAGGUGGAUGCCCUAAAUCUCUUGGUGAAAGGAACGUAUAGAAGUAGUUGUGUUUUAAAUAAAAAUAGUCAUAUGUCAUCACUGAUUUGUAAUAUGGCAUAUGGGGCCAACUUAGCUGCUCAUAUAUCUCCCAUUUUGAAAUCCCAUGGUUGGUGCCUCUUACACAUUAUGUCAUCUGAGUUAUAUGUACCGUUGGAGAAUUUGAAAAUCCUUUUGGUUCUCAGAAUAUUGAAUGGUUCAUACAUGGGGGAUGAAACAGGGUGUCAGCCAUCUAUUUGAAGACCAUUGAUCAUGUGGUUAGGAUCAUCUUAUCAAUUGGAUUUUUUAGACCUUGGCCCACUUGAAGGAUGGUUUGGACAGUUGAUUUGCCGGGUCCCGCCAUGGACGGAUUGUAUUUACAAGAAAAACUCAUUGAGGGGACAAUAGCAGUCGUUCAAUUUGUUGGCCUACAGGUGGAUGGACAGAAAUGCAACAAUAAUGUUCAACUGAAAAAUGUCCGAUAAUAGUUGUUGGGAUCUUUCCAUCUGGGAGGUUCUUGAGACAUGGUCUAUCUAUGAUUGGAUGAAAUAGACCAUUAGAAAACAUAACAGACCUGUGCUCCAUUUCCAGUUGGGCAUGUCCUCUUGUAUCAUCCUUUUGGCAAUAUUACAAUUCUCUAUUGUAUUAUUUUCAGAUUACCCUUUUUGGGUUGGUUGAUAAAUUGAAGUUCUUCUCUUGAUUUUUAGCUAUAGUGUAUUCACAUGGUCGCGGCCCAUGACAUCAAUGGUCCUGACUAUCCUAAAAAAUGUUGGACAGGUGAAGUAGAGAGUUGAAGUCCUGUGAGCUUUCAUCUCCAUGGAGAGCGUCAAGGGCCACACAUGAUGGAUGAAUUGGAUGUAUCAUAUACAUCAUGAUAGGCCCCACUUUCUGACAACUAUUGCAACUGCUAUGUUUGUCCAAUUGUUGUAAUUAUUUUAUCUAUUUACAUGGUUGCCCACCAUAUCAUUUGGUUCUAAAGGCUUUAGAAGCGCAGCAUGUUUCAGUGGAGAGCUCCUGACAGGACUUCAUUUCCAUGAAACUCUGGAGAACAUAUUCUUCGUCAUAUAUGUUUUGAUGAGUACAUUCUAUUUCUAUAUCUCCCGUCUGCUCAUUCCCAUCUUUGCACUUCUUAGUGGGUCUGAAGAUGAGAACCAGUACAUUCACGAAUAACUUUUUUCACACAAACAAACACACACUUUUUCCCCUGUUCCUAUAAAUAAUAAAAUGGUUAUGUGAGCAGAUACAGAAGAAAGUUGCUGAAAUAUUUCUUUGAAUAAGAAAGGGACAAUCAUUUUAAGCAUGAUUGAUAAUAUAAGUAGUGGUUGUACCUGAGGAACAAGAAAAAAUGACUCCUUAGGCCGGUGGACAAGAGCAACUAGUCGAUCUACAUCUGGAGCAACUUUCCUGUUGGCAAGAUGCUUCAAGGUAACUCGUAGCGUUGCUCCUAAUACCACUUCUCUCACAGAGGCAAUCUUUACUAAAAGAGCAUUAGCAGUUCUGUGGUUGAUGAUGGGGUAAUAAGUAAGGAAAUGGUUUGUUUAUGUUUAAAGUGGCUGGGAGAUGUAUUGGUGUGAAUUUUCUUGGGCUGGAAAUAAAUAAGCUUGUGAAACAAUGUCUAGAUUUUGUUCAACAACAAGGCUUGAAGAAUAUGGUGCUAUUAAUGCGGCUUUUGUGGAGGCCAUCAGGCCCCAUGUUCUAGUACUCCGGAGCAGCCCUUAUGGGAAGAAAGUCCUUUCAAGCAACAGCCUGAGGAAGUAAUUUAUGUUGUUUCAGGAAGUUCUGCAACCAUCUGAAAAGUUUGAUCCGAAUUUUUACAGCCCCUCUUAUUUCUGUGAUAGUUUCCAAUAACACAAGGCGAAUGAUUUGUUUGACAUGGCUUCAAGGGAAUCCUGUAUGUACUAAUGCAAAUGAAGUCAACAUAAUCAAGUUUUGUGGGUCUCAGAAUGGAAAUGGAGUGACACCUAGAGGCUUAACAAAUGCCACACCCAUCUGUCCCACUCUAGCAUGCCGUGCAGAUUUCAAUUUUGA
Magnolia sinica is the source of this 2095-nucleotide long non-coding RNA. RefSeq lists it as uncharacterized. The record is from RefSeq and is a predicted model, not a curated record. Lineage: Eukaryota; Viridiplantae; Streptophyta; Magnoliopsida; Magnoliales; Magnoliaceae. The transcript has 7 exons.